This 2215-nucleotide long non-coding RNA is filed under the name Medicago truncatula (barrel medic). RNAcentral's name for it is "lncRNA gene43743". The record is from RNAcentral. Lineage: Eukaryota; Viridiplantae; Streptophyta; Magnoliopsida; Fabales; Fabaceae.
CACAAGAAUGUAAACUGUAGAACAACAGGUUACUCAUUGAUUGUCUAAAGUUAACAGGAAAGUUUGUUCUAAAUCAAAAUUGUUCGAAAGCCGAUCCAUUCAUUCCUUUUCCACUUGGGGGAGAAGGACGCUAAAAACAAAACAAAUUGUUCAAGACACCACAAAGGGAGAAAACAAAACAAUACAGAACAAUGAUAAUGAGAUAUGAUAAUGGGAAAGGGCAUUGAUGUUUGAGACCAAAACUCAAACUUUAAAGCCUCUGCUCUUCCUUUUUCCUCUAGCGGCUUCAACCUUUCGUGAUUUUUUCCCACGGACAUAGGGCUUAGUGUUGCUGUGUGGCACACCAGGAGCUCGUCCGAAGUGCUUGACAGCCUCACGAGCAUUUUUGGGACCUCUAAGAAGAACCUGAAACAUUAAUACAAAAAAAAAAUGUCAUUCCUCCUAUGUAUGUUGUCUUAAUUUGCAAAGAGUGGAAUAUGAAACUAGAUAAUUUUAUCCUUCCUCCUAAAGUUGUAACAAAACUAGGAACAGAAAAGAAGCAAUAACCAAAAUUGUUGUAAUUUGCCACAAUCGAUAGGUAUAAAAGUCGAUAAACAAAUAAUACAUACUAAUGCAAAAUUAAAACAGGAAGUACACUAGAUUUGUGGUAAGCAUAUUAUUUAAUAGGCUGUAUUGGAACAGGUAGUAUAACUGUUAUAAGGUGAAAAUAAACAAGAACAUAUGGUGAAAUUAUAAAGAAAGUGAAGUAACCGCAAGUAACAGCGUUGACCAGUAUUUCAAAACAAAGUAAAACAAAAACACAGGAUUCCUACACAUUUAUCAUUCUAUUCAUUUUGACUUUCAUAAAGGUGACAAUAAGAUAGCAGUGAAAACAUGACUUCUCACAAAUGAUCUACUAAAAAAACACAAUUGCUAAAUGUCUAUAAAUGAAAGGACAGUGAAAAAAGAAGCUCUAAGAGCCAGCUGUUAGACAAAAGAAAAAAAGAAGUUCUACAUGAAGUUUGGUUUGAAAGAGAAGACUGUUAAAAACUUAUAAUCUUUGCACACAUGAACUAAAGCCAACUUCCAAAUUUAUAAAAUUACUGCAAUUUUUAUAAAAUUAUAACACUUAGAAUAACAAUAAGCAAACAAGAGUAGUAUUAAAAUACAUACCGUGUUCUGGCCUAAAGGAGCUCUAAGAGCCAGCUGAUCAAAGGUGAGGCACUCCCCACCAGCCUUCUCAAUUCUAGCCCUGGCCUUUUCGGUGAACCUUAGAGCAGUUACCUUAAUUGCAGGUACUUCAUAAACCCUAAUAUCAUCUGUCACGGCACCAACAACUACAGCAAUCUUACCCUCCUAAUACCAGAAAGAAAGAAAAAUAAAGUAAACAAUAUGAUUAUAUUUAAUAAUUAUUUUAAAUAUCAAUGCUAUCUCUUCGUCAACCAAUUAAAACCUGGUUGGAUUUAGCUAAAUUGAACGUAUCUAAAAGCAUAUGUGCAGAUGAAAAACAUCUUAGAAGAAUUUGUAAAAACAGCCUGUAACAUGGGCCUGUUUGGAUUCGCUUAUUUGAUCUAAUCGUCAACAUACACAAGUACUGUGUGAUUGUUUGGAAAAACUUGUGACAACAGCUUCUGACAUUGUUGAUAAGCUGUUUUCAGCUUAAUUUUGCAAGUUCUUGGAGAUAACUUAUGAAAACAAUACACGAAAAUAAUUUAUAUCAUGACUAGUGCAGACUGGGCCCAUUUUUAUAAGCUAUUGCAUCACAUUUUCAGAAGUCUAAAUGCUAACUUUAAGAAAACAACUUAUAACUUACGAAAAAAUUGACUUUAUGUUAACCUUUGUUAUAAAAACAGCUUAUAAAAUAAACAGUAACAUGAUUCGCACUUAAUUAAGCGAUUAUAUACCUUUCCUUUGGUGUAACGAAUCAACCUAGACAGUGAUAAAGGUGGCUUGUUGACUUUGCUCAUGAAAAGCCUCUUAAGGAUAACCUUAUUGAAAUUACUUUCAGUCCUUCGAACAAGGAAACGGUAUAGCUGAAAAACACAUAACAAACAAAAAAAAAAAACAAUACGAUUCAAAUACAAAUCCAUUAUUCAGAAUCACAGUAACAAGUGAAGUAACAGUAGAAAAUGCAUGAAGGUUUACCUUAACGAGAAGCUUGAGGUAGAUAUCAUUGGAUUUUGGUGCUGUACGUUUAGUCUUCUUGGACUUACCUCCUGCCUUCAAAUCGAUACCC